This 496-nucleotide ribosomal RNA is filed under the name uncultured bacterium. RNAcentral's name for it is "partial 16S ribosomal RNA". It matches the Rfam family "Bacterial small subunit ribosomal RNA", at positions 28 to 506 of the family's 1533-position model. The record is from RNAcentral.
GAUGAACGCUGGCGGCGUGCCUAAUACAUGCAAGUCGAGCGAACAGACGAGGAGCUUGCUCCUCUGACGUUAGCGGCGGACGGGUGAGUAACACGUGGAUAACCUACCUAUAAGACUGGGAUAACUUCGGGGAACCGGAGCUAAUACCGGAUAAUAUAUUGAACCGCAUGGUUCAAUAGUGAAAGACGGUUUUGCUGUCACUUAUAGAUGGAUCCGCGCCGCAUUAGCUAGUUGGUAAGGUAACGGCUUACCAAGGCGACGAUGCGUAGCCGACCUGAGAGGGUGAUCGGCCACACUGGAACUGAGACACGGUCCAGACUCCUACGGGAGGCAGCAGUAGGGAAUCUUCCGCAAUGGGCGAAAGCCUGACGGAGCAACGCCGCGUGAGUGAUGAAGGUCUUCGGAUCGUAAAACUCUGUUAUUAGGGAAGAACAAAUGUGUAAGUAACUAUGCACGUCUUGACGGUACCUAAUCAGAAAGCCACGGCUAACUACGU